Molecule: long non-coding RNA, 3263 nt
Organism: Pezoporus occidentalis (night parrot)
Lineage: Eukaryota; Metazoa; Chordata; Aves; Psittaciformes; Psittacidae
Exons: 2
Source: RefSeq, a predicted model, not a curated record
AGUAAAAGUUCAAUACAUUGACAAGUUUAUUAAAUUGAAAUAAUUGCAUAUCUCUAGAAACUUUUUUCAGUGACUGGUAUGAAUUUACUCAUUUUCAUUUAUGAUAAACUCUUUGAAUAAAUACCACUUCUUUCAGUCCAACUAACAAGAAUCUGAUUGUAUUUAUGUUCAUGUACGUAUGGCACUUUUCUGCCCUAGAUCUACAGGACUGCUCAUGUAAGUAUGCAUGUCAAAGAUGCAUAUACAUUUGCCAGCUGAGAGCUAAAAUUAGAAUGCUUUAUUUCUACACAUUAAUGUCAUGGUUAUGCCAAAUGAAAAAGCUGUUGGACUCAGGAGGCUUUUUUUUUUUGUGCAAUUAUGAUUAAAAAUGCAAAAGACCUCAAGUGUGUUCUAGGCCAAAGAUAGCAAUACACGUGUAAAGCAGUUCUUGGUGUGCUCCAUAGGUCUGGACAGAGAUUUAUUUGGAAGUCUGUGUGUCCUGUCUUGCACCUCUUUGAUACUGAAAAUGACAGCUAUAGGCUAUUACAAACAGACUUCUGGACUUUGUGUAGAUGUAGAGGUCUGCAUGUGCAAAGCACAUGAGGUUCAAAAUGUUAAUCUCAAAAACAUCAGUGUAAAAAAAGGCCAGGUGUCCUAUGAACUAAUUGGGAAGACAAAAGGAUAGAAGUGAUCUGAAGUGGCACAAGCCAGAGCACUUUAAUAUAGAAUUUUUCUGGGAGAUAGCGUCUUAUGCUUUGAGAAGCAUUUGAGGAAAUGAGUAGCUCAGCUUGUAUUUACAGUGCUGUUAAUUAAAAGGGGAUUGAAGGACAUUUCCAUUACAUGGUUUUUCUCUUAAGCUUCAAUUACAACUUCUGUUUUAAAAGGAUAAUUUCUAAAAAGGAUCAUAAUUUAGUGUCCAGUAAAGUACACAGGUUUCGUAAGUAAAUGUUUAAACAAGAAUAGUGCAAGUCUAUUAGCUAAGACUUACUGAGGUAGAAGUCCAUCUGGUAUAAUUAAUUAUAUACAGGUGUUUGGCAUUUGUCAUAGAGCAGUUUAAAUAGAUGUAACAAAUGCAACUUUGUAAUUUUUUUUUUUUUUUUUUUAAGGUUCGCAUCCUUCAGUAUGGCUGUUCACAGCCUGGGUCUGUGGCUUUGCUUUUCUAGAAAACAAACCAGCCACAAACUAAGAAGUGUCACUGCCUGUUAUUCACUAACAGCCCUAUUAGAAAGAGGCAUGAAAUACAAGAUCAUGAAUGCUAAGUGUUUUUUACAUCAAGUAUUCUUGGAACAUCUAGACUGAGGUCUCCAAUGUGAAAUGACUGAACAUUGUUUAUGGAAGUUCCUGCCUCAAAAUAGGAUGCUGACAAGAACAUUUAUUGCAGUAUCUGUGUGCAUUAAAUCUAUAUGAGCCAGUUUAUAGAAUGGUUCUACAGAGCCUGAAAGGAAAGGAAAACAUCUGGGAGACUUCUAGUCCCAUUGGUGUAAGUGCUGAAUAUGGUGCAGAAGUAUCAAUUCUGCGUUAGUUAAUACCAAUGUAAUGCAGAGAGUUGCUAUUAAUAGUAAGUUGUUAGUAUCACUGAAUUAAUGAAUUCAGAUAUUUAAAGAAAAUAAUAAAGUGUGUGUGACACCUCCCUGCUUUGUCUUGCUUUACUCUAUUUAUUUUAUGGGCUAACUAAUAUUAGACAUACCAGGUAAGAGGAGCACUAAAACUGCUGUUUCUAAGAAUGUUUUUAACUAAUCAAUAAGAAAAUGAUGUAAAACUCUUAAGUUAUGGUAGAAAUGUACAUGUAGGUGGAAGUCUAUGUGGCCUGUCUUGCACCUUGCUAAUCAAUGAUGCCAAAAUUUGAAGGUUUUGUGUUCAGGUUUACAAGUCAGAAGUGAAAAUAGUUUCCAUUUUGUUAAAGAUUGUAAUGUGUUACCUGUUCCUGGAACUUUUCUUGCUUUCUGGUCUUUGCACCAAGAAAGCGAUGACGUUGGGAAGAGCACGUGAAGCUAGCAGCUAUUAACUAGAAUCUGUUAUAAGGCUGUAUGAGGAAUUUCCCAAGCUUACCAAAAGAAUACUUCAGAAAGUAAGUGAAAACACAACUCAAGAUUUUAAGCCCCAGUAAUGUAGAAGACCUGACAGAUAUUACUGUGGCUGCAAACAAAAGAGGAAUCUUACUAGAACUUAAAUUUCCACUCUUACAAAUGGUAGCCAUGAGUUGGGAAGUCAGCACAUCACUGGUGCUCAUUUCUACUCCUUAAGUACUUUUAUUAAUGGAUAACCUCAUCCUCAAAAGUGGAUGUUUGAUUAAGUCAUCUUAUUUUUUCCUGGCCUUGAAAAUCAAUAAUAGCAUGAAACUUUGUCAAAAAGUGUUGCAGAUUUAUUGGAAAUCUUCUCAAAACAUAGUAAUCUGGAAUGAUAAAAGUUAAACUUAAUUCUCACAUAAUUAAGAAUUUUAUUGGAUUUAAGUAAGUAGACCAAAAGUAACUUUUUAACUGUGGGGUUGGGACCAUUACAAACGUGAAGGGAAAUUCUAGCUUCCAUAGUAAAUGAAUACUUUGCCCAGGGAUUGAUGAAGACCUGGUUCUUUGGCCCCAGAAGAGACCUUGGUUACUUGGAUUAAGGCAUCUAUCCGCUGUUGGCCACAGGAAAACUUUUGAGAGUUGUGAACAGCAAACUCCAGUCUAUAACUGGAAACACUUACUGGUGUGACAUUCUAUGGUUCCUUCUGGGCAUAGGGUUCCUUCUGGCAAGAUCUCACUGAACUUUUAACUCUAUUCAUGCAGUUUCUUCUCUACUGCAAAUAACUGCACAAACCCCUUAUAGCUAGAAGGACACAACUUUCCUGUUUGACACUGCUACAAGCUGGGAUAUGUGAAACAUUAAUCCUAAAAAAACCUGAAACAACUUGAUUGGAAUGUCAUUCCUUUCUUCUUUCAGACAUGGCUGGCUAGUAAUGUAUAGCUGCUUUAGAGAGUUGAAGUGUAAGGAAACAACAAACUAUUGAUGCAAAUCGUAAAUUGGACCAAGAAGUAACUUCAGCUAAACAGUGACAUGCAAAUCAGGACGAGAAGACUAAAGAUCUAUGGAAUACUUAGUGCUGGUGAUCUAAAAAGCAGACCUUGAACUGCUCGGUUUUCAUCAGCUGUACCAAAGGGAAAAGAGCAAAAGCUUGUUUUUACUACUAAGCUGAGUGAAUAUGGCGUGGAAAUCUUGUAAUGGCAAGGUAUCAAUUUUGUAAAGUGAUAUAUUUCAGAGGGGAUACUAAAUUCGACUGUGAAUAAAAAGCUUUAUAAAUGGAA